AUACUUACCUAGCAGGGGAGAUACCAUGAUCACAAAGGUGAUUUUACCAGGGCAGGGCUUAUCCAUUGCACUCGGGACAUGCUGACCCCUGCGAUUUCCCCAAAUGUGGGGAAGCUCAACUGCCUAAUUGUGCUAGUGGAGAGUUGUGUUCGAGCUCUCCC
Small nuclear RNA from Mastomys coucha (southern multimammate mouse), 161 nucleotides. RefSeq annotates it as U1 spliceosomal RNA. The transcript has a single exon. Lineage: Eukaryota; Metazoa; Chordata; Mammalia; Rodentia; Muridae. The record is from RefSeq and is a predicted model, not a curated record.